UCCUCCGUAGCUCAGUGGAUAGAGCGUUUUACUUGCAAGUGUUAAACGGAUUAAAGGUCGCAGGUUCGAAUCCUGCCGGAGGAGCAA
This 87-nucleotide transfer RNA is filed under the name Chryseobacterium sp. SNU WT5. Its description in RNAcentral is "tRNA-Ala". It matches the Rfam family "tRNA". Rfam says of the family: Transfer RNA (tRNA) molecules are approximately 80 nucleotides in length. Their secondary structure includes four short double-helical elements and three loops (D, anti-codon, and T loops). The record is from RNAcentral. Lineage: Bacteria; Pseudomonadati; Bacteroidota; Flavobacteriia; Flavobacteriales; Weeksellaceae.